GAUGAACGCUGGCGGCGAGCCUAAUACAUGCAAGUCGAGCGAACAGACGAGGAGCUUGCUCCUCUGACGUUAGCGGCGGACGGGUGAGUAACACGUGGAUAACCUACCUAUAAGACUGGGAUAACUUCGGGAAACCGGAGCUAAUACCGGAUAAUAUAUUGAACCGCAUGGUUCAAUAGUGAAAGACGGUUUUGCUGUCACUUAUAGAUGGAUCCGCGCCGCAUUAGCUAGUUGGUAAGGUAACGGCUUACCAAGGCAACGAUGCGUAGCCGACCUGAGAGGGUGAUCGGCCACACUGGAACUGAGACACGGUCCAGACUCCUACGGGAGGCAGCAGUAGGGAAUCUUCCGCAAUGGGCGAAAGCCUGACGGAGCAACGCCGCGUGAGUGGUGAAGGUCUUCGGAUCGUAAAACUCUGUUAUUAGGGAAGAACAAAUGUGUAAGUAACUAUGCACGUCUUGACGGUACCUAAUCAGAAAGCCACGGCUAACUACGUG
RNAcentral lists this ribosomal RNA (497 nucleotides) under uncultured bacterium. Its description in RNAcentral is "partial 16S ribosomal RNA". It matches the Rfam family "Bacterial small subunit ribosomal RNA", at positions 28 to 507 of the family's 1533-position model. The record is from RNAcentral.